This 512-nucleotide ribosomal RNA is filed under the name uncultured bacterium. RNAcentral's name for it is "partial 16S ribosomal RNA". It matches the Rfam family "Bacterial small subunit ribosomal RNA", at positions 28 to 507 of the family's 1533-position model. The record is from RNAcentral.
GACGAACGCUGGCGGCGUGCCUAAUACAUGCCAGUCGAGCGAGCGGAACUAACAGAUUUACUUCAGUAAUGACGUUAGGAAAGCGAGCGGCGGAUGGGUGAGUAACACGCGGGGAACCUGCCCCAUAGUCUGGGAUACCACUUGGAAACAGGUGCUAAUACCGGAUAAGAAAGCAGAUCGCAUGAUCAGCUUUUAAAAGGCGGCGUAAGCUGUCGCUAUGGGAUGGCCCCGCGGUGCAUUAGCUAGUUGGUAAGGUAAAGGCUUACCAAGGCGAUGAUGCAUAGCCGAGUUGAGAGACUGAUCGGCCACAUUGGGACUGAGACACGGCCCAAACUCCUACGGGAGGCAGCAGUAGGGAAUCUUCCACAAUGGACGCAAGUCUGAUGGAGCAACGCCGCGUGAGUGAAGAAGGUUUUCGGAUCGUAAAGCUCUGUUGUUGGUGAAGAAGGAUAGAGGUAGUAACUGGCCUUUAUUUGACGGUAAUCAACCAGAAAGUCACGGCUAACUACGUG